MicroRNA precursor from Cercocebus atys (sooty mangabey), 85 nucleotides. NCBI's taxonomy places the organism in Eukaryota, Metazoa, Chordata, Mammalia, Primates, Cercopithecidae. The record is from Ensembl.
UAUUUGGUUGGUGCAAUAGUAUUUGCAGUUUUUGCCAACUGCUUUUAAUGGUAAAACUGCAAUUACUUUUACACCAACCUAAUAU